CUAUUGAGGAAAUGGGUGUCUAGGUGUUCGCCGUCGAGGAAGUGGGUGUCUAGGUGUUCGCCGUCGAAGAAGUGGGUGUUUAGGUGUUAUCUACAUGUUCGCCGUCGAGGAAGUUGGUAUCUAGGUGUUCGCCGUCGAGGAAAUGAGUGUCUAGGUGUCUAGGUGUUCGCCGUCGAGGAAAUGGGUGUCUAGGUGUUCGCCGUCGAGGAAAUGGGUGUCUAGGUGUUUGCCGUCGAGAAAGUGGGCGUCUAGGUGUCCGCCGUCGAAGAAGUGGGUAUCCAGGUGUUGUCUACAUGUUCGCCGUCGAGGAAGUUAGUGUCUAGGUAUUCGCCG
Molecule: long non-coding RNA, 333 nt
Organism: Mycetomoellerius zeteki
Lineage: Eukaryota; Metazoa; Arthropoda; Insecta; Hymenoptera; Formicidae
Exons: 3
Source: RefSeq, a predicted model, not a curated record